This is a long non-coding RNA of Aedes aegypti (yellow fever mosquito), 1590 nucleotides long. RefSeq lists it as uncharacterized. The record is from RefSeq and is a predicted model, not a curated record. The transcript has 2 exons. Lineage: Eukaryota; Metazoa; Arthropoda; Insecta; Diptera; Culicidae.
UGUAAUGAAAUCGAAUAACCCCUGUAUAGAGCAGCUUUCUGCACGAAAGCAUUUAGCUUCUUUACAAGCGUAGCGCCACCUCUCUGUGAAAGAGAAAUGCAAUUCAGAAGCUUUUUGGCUGCGGCGUGAGUACCGUUGCGAUCUCACAACGUUGCAACAAACCAUCCAAAAUUUUUAGAAAAGAUAGGCUGGAACUCAAAAACAAACCAGUGGAAAACGGACUAAAAAAAAUGUAUAAGUCCAUCAUGCAUAUGAAACCGAAUGAGACAGCCUCAAUUUAGGUAGAAUUUUUAUGAAAAGACGGGAAUUUCAAUAGCGUCCAGUGUUCAAGGUCACUGUUUGAAGGCAGAAUUUUGUUGGCAUGGGGUUUUUGAAUUUAAUCGAGUGGAGAACGUGAACAAGUGCACAUCAGUUAGAAGAAAAUUAGUCUCGAAAGUUAAAAUCAAAACCAAGUGUAGUAUCUGAACAAGGUAGCAAGUAGUAUUAGUUAAACAGUUUUUGAGUAUUAAUUAUUAAAUCAAUCUAGGUACGGCAGAAUCAAGUGGUUGGCAGAUUUUUUAAAUAGUAUUGCUAGUAGAAUAACACGUGCUAAAAAAACAACUCACCGGUAAGAAUAAGUUUGGUGUCUUGAUUUCAAAAGUGGUGAUCAGUUUGAAUUUCAAAUCAAUGUAGGCCCAAAAGAUCUCUAUCGGGAUUUAGCUGUUCUGGAAAGACAGGACGAGCUGGCUAAAACCGUAUUCGCUGGUAUAAUCCCCACUGCUCAACGUGGGUGCCAGUCUGGGACCAGAAAGUUGUUCGGAUACCCGUUAAACAUCCGAUAAGCAAUCCAGAAGGACCACCCUAAUCGCUUUCCCUCCUGACAAGCCACCCCACUCCCAUCCGGGGAAAUUCUGAGUGGAAGCGUUUGGGAGCAUCGUCUACUACCGCAUUACUAGAGACGGCCGCGCCACUGGUGGCCAACAUAGGAACCAGCAGUAUUCUCCAAGCGUUUCACUGCUCGACACGUCACACGGGUUGCCUACCUAAUAGCGCAACAUAAUCAGCCGAUCCGCUCGAUAGCCGAAUCUGCUGGAAUCGCCGACCAGGGGUCUGCAUCACGUUAGUGCACACGGAGCAGGAAUUGUGCAACACUACGCUCGUUCAGUUGGAUGUACGGUGCCCGCUGAUCGAAGCCCGUCUUCGUAUUCAAGUCCAAUAUCACCUGCCAGCCUUUCCGCCACCCGGCCAAGUCCCAUUGGUCGCUGCGUUACGACUACUACCACCACGCUCUUUCAGUUGGAUGAAUGGUGCCCGCUGAUCGAUGCCCUUCGUCACGCUCGUUUGAAUAUCAACCCGCCAUUCCGACUCGGGCCCAGUCCUAUUGGUAUCUGGGUUAACGAGUACCACGCCAUCUACCACGAUUUCACCACCAAGACGCUUCCCGCCACGCUGCUUCCGAUUGCUGCUGCCGAUCUUCUGCGCCAAAACAGGAUAACAGGUCAGAUCUGAUUUUUUUUUAUGAACCAUAAUGAGCUCGAAGAACUCCAUGUAAAGCAAGUGACGUCACUUAGGUAAAUUUAAAAACUAGAAUAUAGAACAUGUUGAAUUCAG